Molecule: long non-coding RNA, 1545 nt
Organism: Lytechinus pictus (painted urchin)
Lineage: Eukaryota; Metazoa; Echinodermata; Echinoidea; Temnopleuroida; Toxopneustidae
Exons: 2
Source: RefSeq, a predicted model, not a curated record
UAAAAUUCAUACGUCAUAUAAUAUAGGUGCCAUGAGCCUAAUUACAUCAGGAGGGCUAAAGAUAUUCGUUCGACCCAACCCAUUCGAAUUUUUUCAAUUUGAUAUUGCUGAUUGACAAAAGUGUAUGAAUAUGAUUCAAAAUCUAACACUGAUUCUAGAAAUGGUAACUACUGAACUUCCUGUGCCCAAAUUGGGAAGAUAUAUCAAUGAUUUGGAACUAUUUUUUGACUGGCGGAAGAAUUGGGGCUAUUUUACUGUUUCAGUUGAUGAAUUUGAUCCCAUCAUAGUUAUCUUCAUAAAUGGCGAUUUAUUUUUAAAAUGAGCUGGCUACGAUACCCUUCUCUGGUCAGAUAUAGAAUGUCAGAUAUAUAUCCUAUCCAAAGGUAGUAAACAUUCGACCUCCUAAUUUCACAUUUAUUUUGUAUGAAUUUUUUUAAGUGCCAUUUUAACACACAAGUCUAUGGGGAAUGUUUUACGCGCGUGAGACCCUUAGCUAGAGCAACACGCUUGUGUGUUGCUGCCCUCUACGUUCGUUGGCUACGAACAAAGAAGGAAAAUGGCGUCAAAGUCGUUUCUCCACAGAUCGAUGGGAAGACACCAGUAAAAUCGCGGCAUGGUUCCAGCCCUUACCUGUCCGUUGCUAUGAAAGCAAAUUUGGCGGCAUGGGAACAGUGGAUGGCAAAAUUCGGGGUGAAGAGACUAGAGUUUCAGCAGAUGAUUCAAAAUUAAUUGUCGGUCUCGUCGUUAUUUUGUCUUUCUUUCCCUUUUAAUUUUUCUCGUUCAUUUUUGAAGGAUUUAAAGGACCAUUGAUGUAGUAAAGGAAAUGACAAUAGCGAGGGCAGUAGUUUUGUGUUUUAAUAUGGAACCAGUAAAUGAUGAUAUUGAAGGAAGUUGCAAUAAAACAAGGAGCAUAAUUAUGAAAAGGAUAGUGUAAGAAUAAUAGAUUAAGGCCAUUAUGAUGAAAUUAAUUUAUGUACAUUAUCUUCAUUCAAAUUAUUUCAUCAAGAAGGCGUACCACACUUGUAUUCAAGAAAGAUUUAGCAUUGAGUGAAUUAAAGAUAGUCUUCAAUGACCUCUUAUAUCACUAUGUUCCCUAAAACUUUGUUUGAUUUAUCAAAGGAAUGAUAUGAAAUCCUUAUUUCCUCUUCGCUUUCCCUAUAUCGGAGGCCGACGUAGAUCUUAUAAGUAUCAUUGAGCCAUUAAUUUUAUUGUAAAAAAUAAACUAAUAUAAAAUCCAAGAAAUUACAAAGAAAAUAUAUAUUCUACGCAGUUGUUACGCCCUGGUACUAAUUAUUUUGCAGUACAAGAAUUAUUUUUACAUUCUAUUGUUUGUAUUCAUAUCAUUCUUAAUUUUAUAUAAAUUUUAUGUAUUGUACGUAGAUGGCCAAACAGUAAAUUUUGUUACAGAGUAUUUGAUUUAUUGAUUUCUUUCCAUUUAUGAAAGACAAGAGUAUGAAACUUAUUUGCCAUUUGUAUUAAUUCUACAUUCACCUUGCCAUUCAUUUCAUGGACUGAAAAAAAUAAACAACAUCUUGACUGCAAAGA